This is a non-coding RNA of Megalopta genalis, 204 nucleotides long. The record is from RefSeq and is a predicted model, not a curated record. Lineage: Eukaryota; Metazoa; Arthropoda; Insecta; Hymenoptera; Halictidae.
GAACCGUAUAACAAGGAGUUUGAGAACAUUGAUCUGCAAGGUGCGGUCUUGUUCUAUUGUGUAAAGAGAAGUGUGCAGCGGAAUGAGAAGAACGAGCUGACGCGCCUCCAGAUUUUCUUGCUUAAAUCAUUCACGAGAAAAUUAACAAAAGAUAACGGAGAGUUAGAUAAAAUUAAAUAAAUUAAAUAAAAUUAAAAGAAAGUA